UCAGUGCUCAGGGCAGAUUGGAUGUUUGGAUAUAAACAGGGUCAGGGCUCAGGGCAGAUUGGAUGUUUGGAUAUAAACAGGCUCAGGGCAGAUUGGAUGUUUGGAUAUAAACAGGGUCAGGGCUCAGGGCAGAUUGGAUGUUUGGAUAUAAACAGGCUCAGUGCUCAGGUUAGAUUGAUGUUUGGAUAUAAACAGGGUCAGGGCUCAGGGUAGAUUGGAUGUUUGGAUAUAAACGGGGUCAGGGCUCAGGGUAGAUAUUUUGAGGCUUGAUGACCAAUCUUGUUUUCAGGUCCUUCAGUAGUUGUGUGUACCCACUCCAGCAGCUGAUGCAUACCAGCCA
Molecule: long non-coding RNA, 340 nt
Organism: Oncorhynchus tshawytscha (Chinook salmon)
Lineage: Eukaryota; Metazoa; Chordata; Actinopteri; Salmoniformes; Salmonidae
Source: Ensembl